This 484-nucleotide ribosomal RNA is filed under the name uncultured bacterium. Its description in RNAcentral is "partial 16S ribosomal RNA". It matches the Rfam family "Bacterial small subunit ribosomal RNA", at positions 30 to 507 of the family's 1533-position model. The record is from RNAcentral.
AUUGAACGCUGGCGGCAGGCCUAACACAUGCAAGUCGAGCGGAUGAAGGCAGCUUGCUCCUGGAUUCAGCGGCGGACGGGUGAGUAAUGCCUAGGAAUCUGCCUGGUAGUGGGGGAUAACGUCCGGAAACGGGCGCUAAUACCGCAUACGUCCUGAGUGAGAAAGUGGGGGAUCUUCGGACCUCACGCUAUCAGAUGAGCCUAGGUCGGAUUAGCUAGUUGGUGGGGUAAAGGCCUACCAAGGCGACGAUCCGUAACUGGUCUGAGAGGAUGAUCAGUCACACUGGAACUGAGACACGGUCCAGACUCCUACGGGAGGCAGCAGUGGGGAAUAUUGGACAAUGGGCGAAAGCCUGAUCCAGCAAUGCCGCGUGUGUGAAGAAGGUCUUCGGAUUGUAAAGCACUUUAAGUUGGGAGGAAGGGCAGUAAGUUAAUACCUUGCUGUUUUGACGUUACCAAAAGAAUAAGCACCGGCUAACUUCGUG